Molecule: non-coding RNA, 29 nt
Filed under: Mus musculus (house mouse)
Lineage: Eukaryota; Metazoa; Chordata; Mammalia; Rodentia; Muridae
Source: RNAcentral
UGGGCUGAACUUGAUUCUAGGAGCUUUCA